UAAUGGGCCCAGGGACUGGACCUCAUCAUUACAGAGGUACAUAAUGGGUCCAGGGACUGUACCUCAACAUUACAGAGGUACAUAAUGGGUCCAGGGACUGUACCUCAAAGUUUUGAUAACUCAAGAAGUUACAAAAGUACUGAAGUAUUUACACGUUUAUAUCUGGUCACAAUCAUGAACAAGUUGGUAGGUAAGACACACAGGCAACAAUUAGGCAACUUUAUUCCGAAACGUUUCGCCUACACAGUAGGCUUCUUCAGUCGAAUACAGAAAGUAGGCAGGAACAGUAGAGAUGUGAAGACGAUGUAAUCAGUCCAUCAGCCUUGAAGAAGCCUACUGUGUAGGCGAAACGUUUCCGAAUAUAGUUGCCUAACUGUUGCUUAUGUGUCUUACCUACCAACCUGUCGGUAUUGUAUACCAUUUUGAUGUUCGUGAACAAGUUACAAAGGUACUUAUGGGACUUGAUAAGCUGAUAAGUCACUAGUAAACUAAACGUUUACAUUAUCUUACUUACACUUCAUUGUCUGAUUUACACACUGUAUAUGCAUGAAUGAUUUACACUGUAUAUGCAUGAAUGAAUUAGACACAUGUGCAACAUCUGGGUAUCUUUAUUUGCAGACGUUUAACCAUCCAGUGGCUUUAUCAAUACAAGAACUUAAUGUGAAGUCUGUAGAAUUGUAUACAAAAGAAGAGCACGUGAUCUUGAAGAUUCUGGAGCACAGGACCGGGAGAUUGGUGCUUAUUUAUUGGUGUCAGGUGAGGGACGUACAGCAGACCAGGUAACAAUACCUUUGGUGCUUAUUUAUUGGUGUCAGGUGAGGGACGUACAGCAGACCAGGUAACAAUACCUUUGGUGCUUAUAUAUUGGUGUCAGGUGAGGGACGUACAGCAGACCAGGUAACAAUACCUUUGGUGCUUAUAUAUUGGUGUCAGGUGAGGGACGUACAGCAGACCAGGUAACAAUACCUUUGGUGCUUAUAUAUUGGUGUCAGGUGAGGGACGUACAGCAGACCAGGUAACAAUACCUUUGGUGUUUAUAUAUUGGUGUCAGGUGAGGGACGUACAGCAGACUAAGUAACAAUACCUUCAGCUGGUACACGUCCCUCACCUGACGCCAGUAUAUAAGCACCAGUCUUCCUGUCUGUGCUUCACAGUCUCCAAGACUACGGUGAUCUACACAACUCCAUGACUGUGGGACAGAUUACCUCAUGUUUUGUAUGUAUUUCUACAGUCUUCACAUUAUGUCCUUGUAUGUAUUGAUAAAGCCACUGGUUGGUGUAGCGUCUACAAAUAGAGAUACCCAGAUAUUGGGCAUGUGUCUAAUUCUCCAACAGGAUGGGCGUGGGGUAAUUCCCUAUUUACUAUCACCAUCCCAAUACUACAAGUAACCUACAACUACCACUAUCAGUAUUACCACCACUUUAUACCACCAUUAAUAUUACCACCAUCACCACCACUACCACCAUCAAUAUUAGCACCACUACCACCACCCCUCCCAAUGCUACAAACAACGUACAACUACCAUCCCCGAUAUUACCAUCACUAUCUACCACCAUCA
Molecule: non-coding RNA, 1558 nt
Organism: Cherax quadricarinatus
Lineage: Eukaryota; Metazoa; Arthropoda; Malacostraca; Decapoda; Parastacidae
Source: RefSeq, a predicted model, not a curated record